Small nuclear RNA from Sphaeramia orbicularis (orbiculate cardinalfish), 182 nucleotides. Its record names the gene U2. It matches the Rfam family "U2 spliceosomal RNA". Rfam says of the family: U2 is a small nuclear RNA (snRNA) component of the spliceosome (involved in pre-mRNA splicing). The record is from Ensembl. NCBI's taxonomy places the organism in Eukaryota, Metazoa, Chordata, Actinopteri, Kurtiformes, Apogonidae.
AUAAAAUUUCUUAAAAAAAAAAAAAAAAAUCUGUUCUUAACAGUUUUAUCUCUGAUACAUCCCCUACCCGAGGACCAUAUAUUAAAUUGAUUUUUGCAACAGGGAGCUGGAAUAGGGGCUUCCUCCACCCACUCCAUGCAUCAACCUGGUUUUGCAGUACUUCCUGGAACCGUGCAACCCUU